CCUACGGGAGGCAGCAGUGGGGAAUAUUGCACAAUGGGCGGAAGCCUGAUGCAGCGACGCCGCGUGAGGGACGAAGGCCUUCGGGUUGUAAACCUCUUUCAGCAGGGACGAAGCGUGAGUGACGGUACCUGCAGAAGAAGCACCGGCUAACUACGUGCCAGCAGCCGCGGUAAUACGUAGGGUGCGAGCGUUGUCCGGAAUUACUGGGCGUAAAGAGUUCGUAGGCGGUUUGUCGCGUCGUUUGUGAAAACCCGGGGCUCAACUUCGGGCUUGCAGGCGAUACGGGCAGACUUGAGUGUUUCAGGGGAGACUGGAAUUCCUGGUGUAGCGGUGAAAUGCGCAGAUAUCAGGAGGAACACCGGUGGCGAAGGCGGGUCUCUGGGAAACAACUGACGCUGAGGAACGAAAGCGUGGGUAGCAAACAGGAUUAGAUACCCUGGUAGUCCACGCCGUAAACGGUGGGCGCUAGGUGUGGGUUCCUUCCACGGGAUCUGUGCCGUAGCUAACGCAUUAAGCGCCCCGCCUGGGGAGGUACGGCCGCAGACGUAACGUACGAGAGUGAGGCGNGAAGAGUGCGAGCGACGACGAGGGAGGAGG
RNAcentral lists this ribosomal RNA (597 nucleotides) under uncultured bacterium. RNAcentral describes it as "bacterial SSU rRNA". The stretch from base 1 to 524 matches the Rfam family "Bacterial small subunit ribosomal RNA", at positions 338 to 873 of the family's 1533-position model. The record is from RNAcentral.